Equus caballus (horse) is the source of this 10401-nucleotide non-coding RNA. NCBI's taxonomy places the organism in Eukaryota, Metazoa, Chordata, Mammalia, Perissodactyla, Equidae. The record is from RefSeq and is a predicted model, not a curated record.
CCCACAAAAAAAUUAAAAAAAGUAAAUAAAAUGUUUAAAAAUCACCGUGGGCUCUUUUCCUCUCUCCUAUCAGAAACAUUUUUAUUGUUUGGUGAUCAGGUGCCAAUAAUCAUUAAGGGCAGCAGCGAGAGAAAACUGUGGGGGCAGCAGGAGAUGAGUAAGACAGCGUGUGUGAUGUUAGGCAGUUGUGGGGGAGGAUGGAGAGAACUCUGUUUUUAUAACGGGGAGGAAUUUGGAGCUCACUGUAUGCACACGAAGCACGAGUUCCCACCAGCUGCCUCUGAAUACUCUGAGAGAGUUUGGGGUAUUUGAGCACCUUGUUCCCGCGACUAAGGAAGUUGUUUUGCCUGUGUCUACGUUGGGCAGAAAGGUCGUGUGAUAACUGGAGAUAUUAGUCUAGUUCUACCAGGCAAUACUCACAGAUUCUGAUUCCUAGCUGCUGUUUAGCCCAGUGGGGUGGGGAUGGUUGCCACCUCAUACAAUGAUGGUAAGGAUAACAAUAGGCUUGUGGGAAGUGCCACCUCUGCGGUUCUCUUUCACAGAGAAUUCCACCCAGUCCAAAUUACACAAGAGGGCCGUCCUCGUCUUUGCAGUCUCAGCUCCGCCACGGUGCUCUUUCCUGAUGGUAUCUGCUGCCUCCCCAGAUAAUCUCCACUUAUCUCUGCCUCCGCUUUGGUCUCUAACCAUGGUGUGCUGGCUCUGACAUGGGCUCCAUGAAAUCUGGUCCUGAAUCUCUGACAUGGAGGCUUUCUGUUGCCAAAGAAAUGUGCCUGUUGACUGUUUCCGUCUGUGCCUGCGACCUGUUGGGCAGGGCACUGAUUCUUUAAGUCAGCAUUUCAAAGAGAAGAUUAAGAACAAGUUAAGGCUUUUGUGCCAAUAGUUCAGUUAAUCCAAGAGGAAAGCACACUGGGUUUCGAGGCCAUGUGAAAUAGCCAAGAUUUAACGUCAAAAGCGAUCGUGGCAAAGUGGCACAUGCUCCUUCCACCGAGAUGGAGAAAUUUAUACAUUGUGUGUGUUUGUGUGCACAUGUGUGUAAGUCAUUUGAUUUCUCAGAGUUUUAGUUUCCCUAUCUGUAAAAUGGGCACAGUGGAUCUCCUGUUUGCUAUCUUAAACACUUGGACAUGUGGGCCAGGGCUUAUUUUCAUGGCUGGUAUAUGCUGGUUGUAUGGACUAGUUAACUAUUCCCAAAUUUAUUUUUUAGAGUUUUUAGUUGGCAGUUAUCUUCUUCUAAGGAUUAUAGUUCAUAGUUUCUGUGAAUAUACUUUUGAAACUGACUUGGUUCAAAACAUCCAACGUUUCCAGAUAUAAACUGAUUGGGAGAAGAUGAAACCAAAUUCAGACCCACCAUUUCUUUGUCACUGGAAUUAACUUAGAUAUUCGGGGCCAUUUACUUGUGGGUCUGCUUAUUUUAUUUCAGCAUGGGCACAUGCAACAAUUCUGGUUAUUGCAUUCUUACAUUGUCCAUUAUUACUGAGACCCAGCCAUGCAGUUGGUGCACAAUGAAUUCACAGCUCUCAGGGCAGAAUAGCGUAACCAGGUACACCUAUAGGGCACAUCACACAUAGGGGACAAGGUGAGUGAUGCCCUAGGGGAAGGCUAGGUGGCAGCUGAUUGCAUGACAGGCUCUGCACCUGCUCACCAGUGUCCAUCCUUUUCCGAGUUCAGCAGGGAUGUGCUAUUUUGGGAAGGAGAGAACUCAGAGAGUGAGGCACAGAGCAAUUUUCUGGGAUUCUCCUACUUGCCUGUAAGACCCUCCCAGGCAAACUCAUCAGAUUCUCCCUUCAACCAAGAGCUCCUGAAGCUUCCAUUCUUCAAAGCCUUCUUCAUGAUACUGGACCGGCAACGGUUACCUCUUUCCUAACACCCACCUCCUAACAUUCCCAUCUUCUCUAAGCGCUGGUUUAAAUCAGUAGGUUUCCCUUUGCCUGAACAUUUCAUAAGUAAUUGUUUUACCAACAUUGAUGAACAUUUCUGUCUAGAUCAUUAUGAUUUAGUCACUGAUAACAUCCUAAACGGUUUGAGUGCUUGCCAUGUCCUAGGGUUAUCAAAUUUAUCUCUUGUGAAAAUCCUAGGAUGCAGGUACCGUAAUUUCUUCCUUGAGAAAGCCGAGGCUUAUCAAGGCUAAAGUAACUUGCUCAAGAUCACACACUGGGGUGCACAGAGCUGAAGCUCCAAGUAGGUUCUUUGGCUCCAGAGAGUGUAUAUUUGACAUUGACCCCGCCUGCGAGCACCCCAUCCUGAGCACCCACUAUGCGCCAACUCAGAGCUAAGUAUGGCAGGGGCACCAGGAAGAUCAAGAUGUCCCCCCAGCCCUCAACGGGGCGUGGGGAGGUGAAGGCAGAAAUAUGUGCUGUAAUGCAGAAGACACCGGGCCACGUUCAUGACCAGGUACAACAGAAAGUGCUGCAGGGGCCCAGGAAGGAGUCGUCAGUUCUGGGUGGGGACCUAUUUUAUAUUAUCCCAAUCUCACAUGGCUAACUUGAAUUUUUGGUUAUUAAAAUGAUGGUUCAGACUUUGAAAACUAGGAAAAAGUGCCUUUACACACACACAAAGAUUGAAUGGAUUUGAGUAAAACAUCGGAGCAUGUUUUCUUAUUUGCAGCCCCCGGUGAGUGGUAGGCAGGGCAGAUUUGAAUGCUCCUCUGUUCAUACUUUUGUUUUUCUUGUAUUGACUGUUCUCUCCAAGGGUGAGUUCAGCUUCCUUUAACAGCUAACCUCAUUCCUUCUCAAGGCAUUAACCUUGAUAUAAAAUCUUGCAGUUGACGCUGAGAGCAGGCCCUGAGCUGAUCCUGCCCUCCCAUACCUGUUCAACUGCUCCAGCUGCUUUAAUCAACAAGCUAGCCAAAGAAACAAAUGAAAAAGCCACCCAGCCCUCAAGUGCAUCUGCAAACAGUUGUUGCAUCGAUGUUUAAUGUUUUGACUUGGUUGCUCUAGCCAAGGACAAUAGUGACACUGUUUGGGUCUCAUAAACAAAGCCUAAAACCUCACUGAGGUCUCCAGGUGGUGAAAGUAACAAAACCCCUUAGAUUAAUGUCAUGAUCAAAUUGCUACUCAGGAACAGUUCCGGGCAGACUAACUUUUGUUCAAGACCCAUUCUCUAAGAAUGAGGCAAUAGGAAGCCAGAGCGUGAGGUGGUGAGAAGUUCUGCCCUGGGCCAGUACGGAUGAGAGGAGCUUCCUGGGCAAUCCCCCUGGGAUCCAGGUUGCAAAUCAGGGUGGGGGUGGAGGGUGGGGAGGCCCCAGCAGGACGCUAGCAGCCAUUAUCCUUUCUGGAAAACACAAACAGAUGGAGGGCUCUGUACAGAUUGCUACCCGACACCCAACAUCCUGUGGCUGAGUAGACAGACACUUGGCUAGCUAAGGCCUUGAUUAGGCUGACAUUUUGAACUUUUCAAGGCAAGCAACUAUUCCAAGAAGCAGAGAUUCUAGACCAAGGAUAUCCAGGUUUGGACAUGACUUAUUGUCUCUCAUGAAACAGAAAUCUGCACUUUUAAGACACAACAGUACCAUCCCAGGAGCGCAGUCAUGAGCAUAACACUGGUUAUCUUGAAUAACGAAUGGAAUCUUCUUUUUCCUUAUCAGCCCAGAGGAACACAUUUAAAAACAAAAAGAUUUGCAGUGUAAGAAAUUUGUUUGGGUGUGUUUUUUCCCUAAUUAUUAAUAUGUCAAAAAGUAAAUUAUAGUACUGGACUUGUGAGAUUACUUAGGUGUUUUUUCAAAGCAUUAACGUAAGAGCAGAAAAUCAGACUAAGAUGCACUGGUUUCCACUCCCUGCCCCUUCCAGAUGAGGAGAGAAGGGCUGUGAGGGCUCCCAGGCCCCUGGCACUGUUAGAACUUCCUCAGGCUCCUGCAGAGCCUCACAGGGGCCUGUCUCAUGUCUGUCUGGCUGUUCCAGGCAGUUUACUCAGCUGCUAGCCUGCCUGAACUUCUUUGUUUUUAGGCAUUUUUCUUUUAAUUGAGACUUUAUUUUUUUUAAGCAGUUUUAGGUUCAUAGUAAAACUGAGCGGAAGGUACAAAGAUUUCCCACAUGCCCCCUGCCCCCACGCAUGCAUAACCUUCCUCAUCAUCAACAUCCUCCGCCACAGUGGGACAUUUCUUACAAUAGAUGAAGCCACAAUGACACAUCAUUUUCACCCCAAAUCCAUAGUUUACAUUUGAGGUUCAUUCUUGACAUACAUUCUAAGGGUUUGGGCAAAUGUAUAAGAACCUGUAUCCAUGGUGAUAGUAUCAGACAUAGAAUUUCACUUCCCUAGGAAUACUCUGGGUCCACCUAGUCACAAAAAUAUGAAGCGCUUCUUGAAUUUGCAUGUUAUCCUUGCCCAGGGCUGCUCUAAUCUUCUCUGUAUUGCUCUAAUUUUAGUGUAUGUGCUGCCGAAGAGAGGGCUGAACUUCUUUUUUAUGACGCAAAAUCAAAAAGGCUUUCCCUGUUGAAACUCAGCCCUUGGACGUAGUGAGUGGAGGGCUGCAGAGCUGGCAUGGGUCGGCUUUGGUCACCCUGACCAGUGUCAUCACCACUUUGCCCUGGUGGGGAGACCACUCUCCAACCUCUGCAGGAACCUGUGGAGGACUCAGGUCUCUGGCAGCAAUGUCCGGAUUUGAAAUUGCAUGGAUUUCCCAUUCCUACCACGCCGAGGGCAGGGGCAAUGCUUUUUAAGAAAAUGUUCAUCACCGGAGCUCCAGUUCCAGGCAUAGAAUUGGCACCCAAUAAAAGUUUGUGAGUUGAACUGUAUAAACUAGAAGGCAGGGGAAAAUAUCAUUGUUCUUUAUAGUGAUAUCUCUAUUAAGGAAGCAGAUAUGUCCCUAUCGCAUGUAUAACUGCCAUACAUGUGUCUACCAGAGCUAGGAAUGAGAGAAGUAGGGGUUGAGGGUUCCCUCUGACCAUGCCCUGCCAGGAAACUCCCUCUCCUCCAGGUAGGGCGGACUCUAUUGCUCUGGUUCACACAAAGGGUUGGGUGUUCUUAUUAUUUGUCUGUUUUUUCUUUUCAGUGCUUGGAUUAGUGCCUGUCACAUUAUAGGGGUUCAAGGAAUUUUGGUGGAAUGAAUGAGUAAAUGAUGGUUACUCACCCCAGUGAUGGGAAGGCCUUGCAUAACUUCAGCCUGGGCAGUGCCCUCCGCAAUCCUGGACUUAGAUGCAUGGGGGUCCAGAUGUACAGCCUUCCACCCUCUGCCAGAGCUGGGGCUGACUCUGUCCUCAUUUAACUGCCCCUUCCCAGUCAGUUGUUGCUUUCAAUUUCCAUUCUUCUACACCAGCUUCAUUAUAAUGAGUUGUGUCUACAAGCAGUUAGUCCUGUGCUGCCUCUAAAUCUUCUAUUUUGCAAACCAAGCAGGCAUUAUUCUUUAGUACUUCCUUGGAGUUCAUGCAUCCUGGAUUUUAGCCCGUUCUUAUAGCUUUCUUCCUCACAUACCUAAAAAUGCUUUAAUAUAUUUGAUAAUCACUUUUGCCAGGAGUGAGCAGAAGAGAGUCCUUGCAUGCUACCUACUCCUCUUUAAGCAGCGGCCUACAGUAAUACUUUCAAUCUCUCUUUUCCCCACCCCAUCCCACCCAUCGCCAUAUUUGCAGCCUAUUCACUACCACAUUGUUGAUUUCUGCAUAGUGCAUAUUUGCCCUGAGAUUUAAGAUUGAUCCUUCUCUGUCCAGCCCUGUAUGGUAGGGAAAUACAUUUCCCAGGCUCCCUUGCCCUCUAGCUUCUAAGUUCAGUCAUUGAGAGAAAAUGGGAAAAGACUGGAGGGGGAGAGGAAGGGAGAAGCCAGGGUAUUUCUCUCUAUCCCAGCCCCCACUUUUGUCAGCGUGGCUGCUGUUGGCUGGACCACUUCCAUGGACCCAGCAGGGCAGUCCUACCCCUGGGAUCUGGUAGCACCACUGUUCUCUCUCCAUCCCUGGGGAUAGUAGCAGAUGUCUGUUCUUGUUCCUCUUGAGAUCGCCUCCCCGUGUCCUCUCUUUGGUUUCUCAGCUCUUCCAUUACCUUUGUAAUCAAUUCCCUGUAUCAAAUCCACCCUGUUUGAGAAACCUAAAGUGAUUUCUGGUUUCUGACUAGACUGUAAUACAUGCAGCAUGCAAAUACUACUGCUGACUUCGCAUGAGCUUCUCACUUUCCCUCUGACUGCCCUUUGGAAUGCAGCACCUACCUCACAAGAUACUGUCAUAAUCGGUUGUUUGUGGAAGAUCUCUGAAAUCCUGGAAAGGCUGGUAAGUUAUAAGUAAGAGCAAUAUGUCAUUAAUUAGCAUUCAUCCAAAUACUCUCUGCGUAAUAAAGAAUGUUUCAUUUCUCUUCCUUUUGGAGCAGCCGUUUGCAAGGUCCCUGGUUGAAGAGACUGGAGCCCUCCCUUGGCAAUGGUUUUGCUUGCCUUCUAAGCCUAGAGGCACCUGUGGUAGCUGACUUGUCGCUCACUCAGAGCUGGGCCAUCUUGUACUUAGGCCAAAGCCGUUUGUCCCCUCAGCUUUGGAUGCCAAUGUACACCCAAAGCUAAAUUCAGGCUAGAUAUCCCAAGGGAUCUGGCGGGUGACUCGGGGCUGCAGGUUUGGGUUGAUGAAGCUUAUUGGGAAAAGCAUGGCCUUUGGGACCAGAUAUACCUGGGUUUGAAUCCCAGCUUUGCAUCUCCUGAGCUGUGUAAAGUUGGGGGAAAUUAUUUUAACUCGUUUAAAGUUCCAUGUUUUUCUAAUGUCAAAUGGAGAGAAGAAAGCUUUACACCAGGCUUUACAUCAGGUGGUUGCCUCAGAGAAAAAGCCCUGCCUUGGGGCCGCAGCCAGCAUUUACACAUCUCAGACUUGGCUACUGAGAGCCGACUCUUCUCCCUUCCCAUCACCACAGUACGGAAGGGAACUCCUGUUCCGUCGGGUAUUGAGAACACAAAGCCUGCUCCCAUCCGUUUCCGGAUGUGCUCAGAAGUGACCCAGAACCUAAGACAUUUCAAGGAAGACAAUAACUCUGUUUCUACUAAAAUGUCACCCUCCUUAAUUUAUUUCUUUCCUGUGUUUAUUCAUCUUGCCCAUUUAUUAAACCCUUGUUUGAUUGCUUAGUCUUUGCAAGUAGGAUGUAAAAAGGAAGAGAUCAGGAAUAUUUAAUUUUGCAUAGCGCUGAGCUCUGACCUGGUAAACGUUGGAUGAUGUUGAUAGGAAUGUCCUGAAUGUCCAACCUUGAGGGACUAGACAGGUGUUUUCCUUUAUGAGAGGUGGUCUAAGUUCUGGUUUGACCAAACUCUAAGCUGGAGGGCAUCAUAUCAGGGUUAUGCUUUUGUUUUAAAAUCCCUUGAAAGGAACUGAUUUCUGCUAUUUAGGGGAGUGGACAAACUAUACCAUUACAUUAAUUUUACUUAAUAGCUGUUAAAUGUCUUUUGCCAUUGCUUUCGCUACUUAAAAGGGAAAAUGUAGGCCAGUCAACUCACAUUAUGCUCUUCUAAAAGGCAGACCCCAGUAGAUAGAUGGGAAAGGUGGAGGAAGAAUCCUACACCUCAGACCAUGCUACCCAGUGCCGAUUUGCCUAGAUUUGAAAAGCUGGGUUAGGAAAGACUCUGGAGCACAGCUCUAUCUCGCAGAGCUGAGGACUGAGAUGUCCUAAGAAUAGGAAGCACAGAGCUUCAAACCUCCUUAAAGAAGGACCUUGCCACCGGAGGUGGCCAAGGGACUCGGACAGCUGAAAGGAACCUUUCCCUUCUUGUCCUUUGAGAAAGGGAGGUGGGGAGAUGGGCCAUGGGCGUGAGGAGUUGCUGGUUGGUUGGAAUGCAAAUUGAUAAACAGCAGCAGAGACAAAGUCCUUCUGACUCUGAAACCAUAGUUCAACAAGCAGCAGCUGUGUGGGGACUGGUCCUAAAGUAGCUCCUAAUGAGAAUGCAAUGAGGGCCCCAGUAAAAUCACCCUGAUUUAGAAGUAACGUGAUUAGUAUGCUUAGCUUAGCUUUUCAGCUUUCUUCCCUGGUCUGUAGGUUUCCAAAUUAGCCCUAUAGGACAUGCGAGGUCACCUGUUUAUGCUCAUGGGCCUGUGCGCACAAUGGAAAUCAACCACACAUCAUUCAGUUGAGACUUUUUAGUUCUGCGAUCUGUCCAUCAAGCGCUCUCGGUUCACCUACCCUACUCUAUCGUCACUUAAAAAAUUUUAAAUAACACUACCCCUUUCCAAAAUACUGCAUAAUUUUUAAAAAUUAUGUCUAUUAAGAGAUGUAUUAAGAGACAAUCGUCUCUUCCCUACCCACCCUCCUAGACUGUGAUUUCCGUGAGAAGAGCUAUCUCUGUGUGUUCUGUCACUGAUGUAUGUCCCCAGCACUUAGAACAGGGCUUGAAAGACAGCAGAUGCUCAAGAAAUAUUUGUUGCAUGCAUGAAUGCAUAAAGCACAAUCCUGGCUUGACAUUUUUAUACAUCAAAAGGUUGACAAUAGAGACUUAUGUUUGAAGAUUUCAAGAGCUGUCUUUGGGUAAAUAAAAAGGCAGUUCUGUGCCUUUCUCUGUCAACACCUAUAAUCUACACAGCUGUCCAAAGUGUGGAGCUGUGGGCAGCUGAUUGGACUUGCAGGUUCCAGGUUGGUCAUCUCAGCCAGAUUGAAAUGUGAUUCUUUGUGUUCACUGCUGAAGAUUAUACUGGAAGGCAGUAGAAUUCAGUCACACAGCAGGGUCUCAAUAGGAGGCAUACACUAAUGAAUCUAGUGAACUUAGAUGAACCUAGUGACUUUGUCACUUGAGUAAAUCUUCUAGACUCAGAGACACAAUUCAUUUACGUGCUUUAUUAUGUGAAUGAACUUUGUGCUUAAAAACGCACAAUAGACCACCAUCUCCAACCACAAAUCCAAUUAACUUACCAGGCUGGAAAAAUAUAUCUCUUAGGCAGACUAGAUAAUCAAACCAAGCUCACUAGCAUGGUCUCGCCUAUUGAAAAGCUGCACAGGAAGCCAAAUUAUCAGCUUAGUGACACUGGCUUCAGAACCAGGGAACACAGUUCCAGGACUCAGAUGUUGGAAGGCCGAGGUUCUGACAACUGGUUGUCUCCUUCUCCACAGCUGGGACCCCUAUGCCCUCACGGGCCUCCAGUCCACCUCCAUCAGGGCACACUCUCAUCUCUUGGGACAGUGCAAAUGGGCACAGCUAAAGUUUGUUUCCGAAACUCCCCCUUUUCUGUGCUUCCAUGGGUGAUUACCACAUUCCUCUGUGAAAUAUGUUCCCACUUCGGUCAAGUCUUGCUCUGGCCUGGGGAUCGUUCUGCCUCACUGACUCUUAGAUUAGAACUUCAUGUAGACCAGAAGUAUUUCUUGAGUAUUUCUUGAGUGUUCACUCCAAGCUAACCAAUGCAAAUGGCUCUUCUCUGACCCAUUGGUGAUUUGUCUUUAGACUUUAACUCUUCAGAGUGUAUCCAUUUCUCUUUUCCAAAUGGUUGGGAUACCCUCCUACCUCCCCUAUUCACUGCCUUUGCCUUUCAAGAAACCUCCAAAUACUGACGGAUUUGCUCUCCUGAGCAGCCUCUCCCAUGGAGAGCAGAGCAAGUGACUCUCCGACCCAAACGUUCUGAUCCCUGACGAUUUGUUUCUUCCUAUAAAUUGGUAAGUUGUCUUUUGAGUGUGUAUGGCCACCUCUAAUGAACUCGAACACUUCAACUUGCUCCUCUAGAGCUUGAUCAUUCUUGGGAGAUGAGACAUUGGAAAGUCACCGGAGGACUGAGAGAAAUGCAGCCUGAGCUGAGGAGCCCAGGCCAAGGGCCCUCCAAGGGCAAUGCCAGCAUGGAAGAGCCAUUUUACCAUCUUCACAACAAUGGGACCGCUGAGAAACGUUCAGAACAAAGCGUUGAUGAUGCAGAAUGGCUGACGUGCUCACCACAUUAAAAGAUAAACCUUUGGCCCAAUGCCUGGAUACCAGGAGCCCUGAGGCAAGUCCUGUUUACAUCUAUCACUGACAGCAGGGGGUAUUCAGGACUGAACCCUGUCACAAGGAACGAUCAGCGGGCCUUGGGGACAAGACGUAGCAGAAGAAAAAAGAAGAACCUGUAACCAAAGCCUUUGACUUCAUUUGGAAAAUGUGGUCUUAAAAAACACCUCAGUUCGGACCAGCUGCAUUUCAAGUUCUCAACAGCCAUGUGUGGCUAGUGGCUACUCUUCUGGACAGCACAGCCAUAAGACUAUUCCAUAGAAUAAACAUUCCGAUUAACUGAAAUGCUACUGUUUUGAAUUCUGACUCAAGAACUUCAUUAUUAACUCAGCCUGACCUGGGCUUCCCGCAUGGACCUGUUAACCUGAAAAUACCCGGUUGCGAUCUGAAUGUGUGUGUCAGCUCCUGUCUCCUCCCUGGGCCCAGGCGAGCCCAGCGCAGACUGAGGCUGAGAUGACCGUCUUCUUGCUGUCCCCACGUGGUCUUUCCUCUGUGCACACAUGCUCCUGUUGCACCUUCUUAUGAGGACAUCUGCCCUACCGGAUUAGGGUCCCACUCUA